UACGUAGGGGGCAAGCGUUGUCCGGAUUUACUGGGCGUAAAGAGCUCGUAGGCGGUUUGUCGCGUCUGCCGUGAAAGUCCGGGGCUCAACUCCGGAUCUGCGGUGGGUACGGGCAGACUAGAGUGCGGUAGGGGAGACUGGAAUUCCUGGUGUAGCGGUGAAAUGCGCAGAUAUCAGGAGGAACACCGGUGGCGAAGGCGGGUCUCUGGGCCGAUACUGACGCUGAGGAGCGAAAGCGUGGGGAGCAAACAGG
RNAcentral lists this ribosomal RNA (253 nucleotides) under uncultured bacterium. Its description in RNAcentral is "partial 16S ribosomal RNA". It matches the Rfam family "Bacterial small subunit ribosomal RNA", at positions 524 to 776 of the family's 1533-position model. The record is from RNAcentral.